GUAAAGAUGACAGAGCCUGGCAAUUGCAUAAAACUUAAAACUUUAUAAUCAGAGGUUCAACUCCUCCUCUUAACA
Papio anubis (olive baboon) is the source of this 75-nucleotide non-coding RNA. Lineage: Eukaryota; Metazoa; Chordata; Mammalia; Primates; Cercopithecidae. The record is from Rfam.